ACACUUUGAAAGAAGGCCUUUGUUAUUAGGCACUUUGUGCAUACUUUUUAAAGGUCUAACUUUGGGAGCCCACCUGCAUCACCACCUUCUAAAAUGAAUUUAACUGGACUGUUGUAUUAUCUAUCAGGACUAAGAAAUGUGUUCAGUGAGAUGGAACAAUUUACCAAUUCAGCUUCUGGACUAUGAAACUUCUUAAAGUUUCAAAGGUUCCUGAAAUGCAAAUAACUCGACAUUAACAAAGAACAAGAAAUCCUGGCCCCGAAAUUAUCUGGUGAAAUUGCCUGCCCCUAGGAGUGCAGGGCAUCGAGGGGAAACAACAGGAAGUGGAGCAGCAGCAUCUGACCUCUCCAUCACCGCCCUAAAACCACAAUAAAGGCUCUUGCCUGUGUUUCCACCUCCUCCUGACUGGCCCUGGUGCUUCCCCGUGUGGCCCCCUGUGGUGUGUCGUGCCCCCCUCCUCUUGGGAACUGUGCUGGAAAACCUGACCCUGCUUGGCUGCGGGAAAAUAAAAUGUGGUGUAUUUUCUCGUGUAACCUGGGAGGCUAAAG
RNAcentral lists this long non-coding RNA (548 nucleotides) under Equus caballus (horse). Its description in RNAcentral is "lncRNA (ENSECAG00000056353.1)". Lineage: Eukaryota; Metazoa; Chordata; Mammalia; Perissodactyla; Equidae. The record is from RNAcentral.